CCGCCCGCCCCGGCAGGUGAGCAGACAAGCCUCUCGGAGUGGUCUGCUUUUGAGCUGCUCUUCUCAAGGUGGCCCCAGCCAAGACCAGGAAUCAUAUAAGCUUCUUGAUUAUAUGAACUUCAUACCCACCAAACCUGGAUUCAUCCUGACCCAGCCCUAUGGAUUCUUCCUCCGUGGUGUUUCUUGACGCUGCUCCAUCUUUCUGUUUACUGCAGACAUCACCUUUCUUCAGACACCAUUUCAUCUUGUGGUGGUCCAGCAGAAAGUCGUAUCUGAAAAGAAUCCAGAACUCCAGCAUGUCGGUGCAGUAGUCGGUCAGAGCCAAUGAACACAUGCUCUGCUGUUGUGCAUCAAGCUCUCCAGGUCCCACUAUUUUCUUCCACAGAUCUCGUGGAUGCCGGGAAGCAGCACCACAUGCCACAUGUCCCUUCGGGGAUGAAGGUGUGACUCUCCCCACUGCUGACAGAAAGCCCUCGGGGAUUGCCUCUCCUAAAGGGAGCUGCUUUGUCCAAGGUUGUUUCCUGAAACACGUUCCUCCAAUUCCUACACAACAUUGCCAAAGACAUUACCAUUCAAGACGGCAUCGGUUGCUUAUU
Molecule: long non-coding RNA, 596 nt
Organism: Aethalodelphis obliquidens (Pacific white-sided dolphin)
Lineage: Eukaryota; Metazoa; Chordata; Mammalia; Artiodactyla; Delphinidae
Exons: 6
Source: RefSeq, a predicted model, not a curated record